This 249-nucleotide unclassified non-coding RNA is filed under the name Ascomycota sp. RNAcentral describes it as "partial contains small subunit ribosomal RNA, internal transcribed spacer 1, and 5.8S ribosomal RNA". The stretch from base 1 to 47 matches the Rfam family "Eukaryotic small subunit ribosomal RNA", at positions 1785 to 1831 of the family's 1831-position model. The record is from RNAcentral. Lineage: Eukaryota; Fungi; Ascomycota.
AAAGUCGUAACAAGGUCUCCGUUGGUGAACCAGCGGAGGGAUCAUUGCUGGAACGCGCUUCGGCGCACCCAGAAACCCUUUGUGAACUUAUACCCACUGUUGCCUCGGCGCAGGCCGGCCUCUUCACUGAGGCCCCCUGGAAACGGGGAGCAGCCCGCCGGUGGCCAACUAAACUCUGUUUCUAUAGUGAAUCUCUGAGUAAAAAACAUAAAUGAAUCAAAACUUUCAACAACGGAUCUCUUGGUUCUG